UACAAUCUAGUAGGUAUUUACUAGUUUGCUAAUUAGUAUGAGAACCAACAAAAUAUAAACCAAUAGAAUCAAAAAAGUGAAACUAGGAAUUCCAACGUUCUUGAGAUAUUGAUGAUGUGGCAAUUGACUAUUGGUCGAUGGACAAAAAAUAUUGUUGAAGUUGAAAAAUUUUGUUCCACAAUUUUGGUUGUUCAAAUUUUACAAAGAUGGGG
RNAcentral lists this long non-coding RNA (212 nucleotides) under Capsicum annuum. RNAcentral's name for it is "long non-coding RNA (CANN_LNC019902)". Lineage: Eukaryota; Viridiplantae; Streptophyta; Magnoliopsida; Solanales; Solanaceae. The record is from RNAcentral.